Molecule: ribosomal RNA, 253 nt
Filed under: uncultured bacterium
Lineage: Bacteria
Description: partial 16S ribosomal RNA
Rfam family: Bacterial small subunit ribosomal RNA
Source: RNAcentral
UACGGGGGGGGCAAGCGUUGUUCGGAAUUACUGGGCGUAAAGGGCUCGUAGGUGGCCAACUAAGUCAGACGUGAAAUCCCUCGGCUUAACCGGGGAACUGCGUCUGAUACUGGAUGGCUUGAGUUCGGGAGAGGGAUGCGGAAUUCCAGGUGUAGCGGUGAAAUGCGUAGAUAUCUGGAGGAACACCGGUGGCGAAGGCGGCAUCCUGGACAGAUACUGACACUGAGGAGCGAAAGCCAGGGGAGCAAACGGG